This 437-nucleotide ribosomal RNA is filed under the name uncultured bacterium. RNAcentral describes it as "partial 16S ribosomal RNA". It matches the Rfam family "Bacterial small subunit ribosomal RNA", at positions 29 to 507 of the family's 1533-position model. The record is from RNAcentral.
AGCGAACGCUGGCGGCAGGCUUAACACAUGCAAGUCGAGCGGGCAUCCUUGUGGUGUCAGCGGCAGACGGGUGAGUAACGCGUGGGAACGUGCCCUUCGGUUCGGAAUAACUCAGGGAAACUUGAGCUAAUACCGGAUACGUGCGAGAGCAGAAAGGUUUAUCUGCCGAAGGAUCGGCCCGCGUCUGAUUAGCUAGUUGGUGAGGUUAUGGCUCACCAAGGCGACGAUCAGUAGCUGGUCUGAGAGGAUGAUCAGCCACACUGGGACUGAGACACGGCCCAGACUCCUACGGGAGGCAGCAGUGGGGAAUAUUGGACAAUGGGGGCAACCCUGAUCCAGCUAUGCCGCGUGAGUGAUGACGGCCUUAGGGUUGUAAAGCUUUUUUCUUCGGGACGAUAAUGACGGUACCGGAGGAAUAAGCCCCGGCUAACUUCGUG